This is a long non-coding RNA of Zea mays, 703 nucleotides long. RefSeq lists it as uncharacterized. The transcript is spliced from 3 exons. NCBI's taxonomy places the organism in Eukaryota, Viridiplantae, Streptophyta, Magnoliopsida, Poales, Poaceae. The record is from RefSeq and is a predicted model, not a curated record.
CGAGUAUAUGGUCAAUUUCAAAGUGAGGAAUUUUGGACACUUGACGAAAAUCACGAGAUGGUACUACUGCACUUUUUAUUUAUUUCAAAUUUGUUUAGUUUGUCUAGCUAAUGAUUUUACUUUAUUUCAAAAAUGUGUGUUUUUAAGUGUAGAUCAAGCCACUACGAGGAGACACAUUACAACCUAGUAGGAUUUCAACAGGACUGAAGGUUGGUUCUCAUAUUUUCUUGAAGAGUUGGAGGAAUCAAAAUAAGAAGGUUGCAUUAGGUACAAUAAUUGGUUGUGAUCCAAAGCAACAAGUUGGAGGAGAUCCAUUGGGCAAAGAAUUUUGGAAGGUUCGUCUCGGUCUUGUACUUGUGCGUGAUGAACCACUAAUACGGCCCUACAACAAUUUUGUGGUUCUAGGAGACAUAGACAACGACCCUAUAGCAUGGCCUUCAAGUUGUAUAGAAAAGGCAACUCUUUAAUGUCAACCAUUGAACAACAGCAGAUCUACAUGAGGGCUAUGACUUCGAUUCUUCUUUAAAUUGGCGUUAUUAGUGAUGAGAGCGAUGAGUCUAUUGAGUCCGGUUUAUGAGUCAACCUUUGUUUGUUUCAUACUAUCAUAGAAAAAAUGUCAAUUCACACAUUGUGUAAUGAAUUAAGUUGUGGAUGAUAUUUUAUAACGACACUACUAUUUUUAAUAUAGACUAAUUCCAGAUUA